Molecule: ribosomal RNA, 583 nt
Filed under: Mesomycoplasma hyopneumoniae
Lineage: Bacteria; Bacillati; Mycoplasmatota; Mycoplasmoidales; Metamycoplasmataceae
Description: bacterial SSU rRNA
Rfam family: Bacterial small subunit ribosomal RNA
Source: RNAcentral
GGUUGUACCGCCACACUGGGAUUGAGAUACGGCCCAGACUCCUACGGGAGGCAGCAGUAAGGAAUAUUCCACAAUAAGCGAAAGCUUGAUGGAGCGACACAGCGUGCAGGAUGAAGUCUUUCGGGAUGUAAACUGCUGUUGUAAGGGAAGAAAAAACUAGAUAGGAAAUGCUCUAGUCUUGACGGUACCUUAUUAGAAAGCGACGGCAAACUAUGUGCCAGCAGCCGCGGUAAUACAUAGGUCGCAAGCGUUAUCCGGAAUUAUUGGGCGUAAAGCGUCCGUAGGUUUUUUGUUAAGUUUAAAGUUAAAUGCUAAAGCUCAACUUUAGUCCGCUUUAGAUACUGGCAAAAUAGAAUUAUGAAGAGGUUAGCGGAAUUCCUAGUGGAGUGGUGGAAUACGUAGAUAUUAGGAAGAACACCAAUAGGCGAAGGCAGCUAACUGGUCAUAUAUUGACACUAAGGGACGAAAGCGUGGGGAGCAAACAGGAUUAGAUACCCUGGUAGUCCACGCCGUAAACGAUGAUCAUUAGUUGGUGGCAAAAGUCACUAACACAGCUAACGCGUUAAAUGAUCCGCCUGAGUAG